GAUAAAAUCAUUGUGCAGUGAUUUGUGAUCACAUAAAUUAUUCAUCGCGCAAUGUCUGUACUAUAACAAUCUAAUGUUCGUGACUCAUUUCAUCAUCUGGAAAGUGGUGCCUCCUAGACUAGACCGUAUAUAUCAAACCCAAUUCGAUGAAAUUGAAUAAACGCGCCAACAGUGAGUUUGGUCACCCGUCCUAAUUAUAUGUAGCCAUUUGGUUGUGGUUUCCGUGUCGGAUGGUGGUAUAUGAUUCUCGUACACACGGCGGAAGCAAAAUCACUUGUUAUGAUUCUAUUAUUUGGCGCUUCCAGAUUUCAUCCAUCCAGAUCCAGAGAAACAUUACAGAACCAACAUGAUUUAGUUUUUGAGCUAGCGUUAUAUACAAUUCCGGAAAUGAUGUUUUCGACGUACCGGUCCGAACUACUCAAUCCUGAUAAAGGGCUGUAUAAGCGAAUUACACUACUCUUACAAGCUGAACCAAACAUAUUUUAUAAACAUUAUUCGUGCGACUUAAUGCAAAAAUAGAACAGCUACAGUUAGUGAGGGAAACGGUAUCGCUAUCAACAAUUUAAUCAUCUUUUAAAACAUUUAAAAGGAAAUUCUACAUCACAGUUCAUGUAUUCUACGCUUAAGCACAUGUACGCGUUACUAAAGAACGUAUAUAGAUUAAUUGAAUAAUAUUUAACAUGUAGAAAAA
Anopheles gambiae (African malaria mosquito) is the source of this 691-nucleotide long non-coding RNA. RefSeq lists it as uncharacterized. The record is from RefSeq and is a predicted model, not a curated record. The transcript is spliced from 3 exons. NCBI's taxonomy places the organism in Eukaryota, Metazoa, Arthropoda, Insecta, Diptera, Culicidae.